This 512-nucleotide long non-coding RNA is filed under the name Pongo abelii (Sumatran orangutan). Its description in RNAcentral is "lincRNA". Lineage: Eukaryota; Metazoa; Chordata; Mammalia; Primates; Hominidae. The record is from RNAcentral.
CACCAGUGAAAGAGGGGAAGUUGCUACUGUGAUGAAUUCUGCCAUGUGGUACCAGACUGCUGCCCAGACCACAGUGUCCUCUGCAACCCUGCUUCUCAGAUGACCAAGAUGGUGCUGCCGAUGGUGUUGAGGACGGAGAACCCACCAAGCCCCGUUAGGAGCCACCUAGACUGGAUGCAGAGCACAUUCUAGGUUCGCUCUAAACCUCCAGUGGAGAGGUUGGGUGUGGUGGCUCACACCUGUAAUCCCAGCACUUUGGGAGGCCGAGGUGGGCGGAUCACCUGAGGUUGGGAGUUCGAGACUAGCCUGACCAACAUGGAGAAACCCCAUCUCUACUAAAAAUACAAAAUUAGCCAGGUGUGGUAGCAGGUGCCUGUAAUCCCAGCUACUCGGGAGGCUGAGGCAGGAGAAUUGCUUGAACCUGGGAGGUGGAGGUUGCAGUGAGCUGACAUUGCACCACUGCACUGCAGCCUGGGCAACAAAAGUGAAACUCUGUUUCAAAAAAAAAAAAA